RNAcentral lists this ribosomal RNA (497 nucleotides) under uncultured bacterium. RNAcentral describes it as "partial 16S ribosomal RNA". It matches the Rfam family "Bacterial small subunit ribosomal RNA", at positions 28 to 507 of the family's 1533-position model. The record is from RNAcentral.
GACGAACGCUGGCGGCGUGCUUAACACAUGCAAGUCGAACGGUGAAGCGCCUUCCUUGUUGGUGGGUGUGGAGGAGUGGCGAACUGGUGAGUAACACGUGAGUAACCUGCCCCCUUCUUCUGGAUAACCGCAUGAAGGUGUGGCUAACACGUGAUAUUCUGGGUCUGUCGCAUGAUGGGUCUGGGAAAGAUUUUGUGUCGGUGGGGGAUGGGCUCGCGGCGUAUCAGCUUGUUGGUGGGGUGAUGGCCUACCAAGGCGGCGACGAGUAGCCGACCUGAGAGGAGGGUCGGCGGCAAUGGUGCGACUACGCGGCCCAGACGCCUACGACAGGCGGCAGCAGUGAAGAUUAUUGCAUGAGGGGAGGAAGGCUGAUGCAGCGACGCGGCGGGAGGGAUGGAGUCCGUCGCGUUGUGAACCUCUAUCGCGAGUGAAGCAGGCUGGCCUCGUCUGUGGGUGGGUUGACGGUACCUGGAUAAGAAGCGCCGGCUAACUACGUG